CCUCUUAGUUUGGGAUAGCCAUUGGAAACGAUGAUUAAUACCAGAUACUCCCUACGGGGGAAAGAUUUAUCGCUAAGAGAUCAGCCUAUGUCCUAUCAGCUUGUUGGUAAGGUAAUGGCUUACCAAGGCUAUGACGGGUAUCCGGCCUGAGAGGGUGAACGGACACAUUGGAACUGAGACACGGUCCAAACUCCUACGGGAGGCAGCAGUAGGGAAUAUUGCUCAAUGGGGGAAACCCUGAAGCAGCAACGCCGCGUGGAGGAUGAAGGUUUUAGGAUUGUAAACUCCUUUUGUUAGAGAAGAUAAUGACGGUAUCUAACAAAUAAA
Molecule: ribosomal RNA, 327 nt
Filed under: uncultured Helicobacter sp.
Lineage: Bacteria; Pseudomonadati; Campylobacterota; Epsilonproteobacteria; Campylobacterales; Helicobacteraceae
Description: bacterial SSU rRNA
Rfam family: Bacterial small subunit ribosomal RNA
Source: RNAcentral